GGAUUCUCUGCUCUGUAUUUGCUUGCUUAUAUGCCUGCACUUUGAGUUUUGUGAGCUCAUCACGCCAUUGUUGGGCAUUUCCUGCUAGAAGAAACAGCGUGGACGUUUAUAGAUUCCGUCAUUUUGUUCGCCGAAGGGAAUAUUAGGAUUCGGUGUAUGGCGUACCUUCCAACAUAUAGCUUUUCAUUGAGGACGAAAUAUGAUAAAACUGCAACUAACAAUGUUGAUAGGGGAUUGAACAUGGUGACAAAUACAGGUCCCUUUGCUUCUGUACACCAUAGCUGAAUGAAAGUCACUAUGCCUGAGAUGAUUACACCCUGUUCAUUAGAGUAGUUGGAUUAGUCCAUGUCUUACUGAAUCUAGACAACACAUAUUAACCUUAUUGUUAGAUCUUACGCCGUAUAAAGUAGACCAGAGAUCGAUGUUGAAACCAAUUGUCCAUUCUGCUUGUUUGUGUUGUACAAUAACUGUGAAAACAGCAGAUUGUGCUGCCCCUAUGAAAUUCAUCCAUGUAGCCAGUGAAAGCUGCGCUGGAUACCGUUUCAAGGUGUAAGCCUGCAAGAUUUGCUGUUAUGUUUAGGAAUUUUUUAUGUUAUGGCACAAUACUGUUAAUCAAAGCAAUACAAAAUUAGGUAAGUUCAAGAUAAUGGUAGAGAAACAAAAAAAGGACCUGCAUAAUGUACCAUAUCGACCAUGUGAUGCAGCUUGCGACUGCAAGAAGGGAGCCCUUCAACCAGUUCUCAUGGAAGGCUUUGUUUCCUUCACCAACAUGAACUAGUGCACGCCCGAUAUUUUUCAAUCCAGGUCCCUUAUACAAUGUCAUGGUCAUGACACCGGCCAAGGAUAUUGAAGUUCCGAGGAUCUUUGCCAUCCCACGCGGGCUGUGAAGAUUUACUAUCUCCAAUCUGUGCACAAAUCCUCAGGAAAUUGCCAAUGUUAGCAAUCAGAGCCCCCGGAUAUGGUUCGACUUUGAUCCAUUGAUCCUCAUAGAAAACUUGGAGGCCAUUGACAUGGUUUUGGAGAAGAAUUGUGAGAAAUGCAGUAUCAGUGUGCUUUGUGGAUCC
Long non-coding RNA from Andrographis paniculata, 1064 nucleotides. RefSeq lists it as uncharacterized. The transcript has 3 exons. Lineage: Eukaryota; Viridiplantae; Streptophyta; Magnoliopsida; Lamiales; Acanthaceae. The record is from RefSeq and is a predicted model, not a curated record.